Pseudophryne corroboree (corroboree frog) is the source of this 247-nucleotide long non-coding RNA. RefSeq lists it as uncharacterized. Lineage: Eukaryota; Metazoa; Chordata; Amphibia; Anura; Myobatrachidae. The record is from RefSeq and is a predicted model, not a curated record. The transcript is spliced from 3 exons.
UAGGUUGGAUCUCCCUAGAUGCCAAUACCUCCUGCAUCGCUGCUGUAUUUUCUUUAUGGCUACUCCGAUGAGAUGGGAGUAUGCCUCUGCAUUGUAUGAACUUUAGCACUGAAUAUGCCCUUAUGUUCUGACAUGAGAGAUGCCCGGUGUGGACUCUUUUAUGUAUCCCAGAUUACACAUUUGUUGUCUAUUAUGAUGAAUUGAUGAGGAUGAUACAUCACCUGCCUUGAAAAAGGCCUGUCAUCAG